UUUUACCAACAGUUUUUUACUAUCACUAUAUGACAAAUUUCUUGUAGUGUUGUCACCUCGAAGGCCGGCACCUGCUGUGUCGUCGAUCAGUCUAUGCCCUCUCAGGGAUCAGAUGUUGCAGGGCCUUCCAGGAGGCAACGGACUUGGAAUGACGCGAUCAGUUCCCCAGUAUAGACGAGAGCAGCCCGACGGACGAUGCUAGACCUCCAGGCAGAUGCAAGGGUGGUGACUCCGUCGUACAUUGUCCUAUGUUCCAUAGGAGGAGAUGGCGGCGGAGGAAGAGGAGCCAGCAGCUGAAGAGGAUGAUUGUGUGGAGUUGAUCAACAUCAAGGACUCCAUUGAGGUUGUCAACCUCUCCUACGACUCAGAGAUGGAGGAGGACUCAAGCUAGUGUUUCAGCACACCUGUAGACACUAGGGCUAGCCGCUAGGAGCUAUUUUCAUUUCUAUUUUGCUUUUUGAUUAGGGUACCUGUGUAUAUAUUUAUUUUGUGAGUAGUUUUAUUUGGGCAACGAUUAGGAUUUUGCCUUGUAUUUCGUACCAACAUUUGCAGAUAUUCUAAUGAAGUAUUAUUCAAAGUUAUAUUGAGUUAUUUUUUGUUACCUAUAGUAAAUGGUUUUUUAUUUUAUGCAUUGUAUGCUACUUAAGGUGAUGUUCCGAAAAUGAAACGAAGAUAAGGAAAUAAAUUUUAUAUAGUUUCAUUAUUCAAAAAAAAAUACACAUUUUUAGCAACAUUUUUGGAGUAAUUUUCAGGGCAUUACAAAUAGCGUACAUUAUAUUGCUUUUUAAAAAUUAUUAUAAAUUAUUUUUAAAAUAUUUUAACAAGAUAAGGUAACACGACAAGGCACAAGACCUAUAGUGGAGUUACCUCACCUUGUUUUAGACAAUAUAAAGUAACGCCUCAAAGCAUUUAGCCUAUAGCAUGUUUUACAUUGCAUUUAAUAAAAAAAGAUUAACAAAUCAAGUUGGAGCCAAAUCUAUUCACAUGGAGAUAAGCAUGCACAAACUAUUCACUACCAUCUAUUUUCAAACGUAAGUGGUGCAUUAGUUUAUUCAUAAACAUGAACUAUUCAUUACCAUAGUCAUAUGUAAUAAAGGGAUAACAUAUUCUUUUAUCUCUCCCAGUAACACACGCAAAUUACAAAACGUUCAAAAAGUUUCUCGCAUUCAAAACAACCACGUUUUCUCAACAAAUUAUAGUUGUAUAAUUUGGAGAAAAAAUGUCCGCAAAUAGUUAUACAUAACAUGCUCUCUUGGACAACUUUAUUAUACUUAAUUUGCCAGUAAAAUUACUAAACUAAAUAUAAUAUUUUCUUGAUUUGAUAUUACUUGAAUGGAUUUUUUUAUGUGUGUCAUUAAGUUGUGCUUUAACUUGCUCCAAUUUUUUAUGUUCAUAGUAUUUCUCAUGUUAAUAGACUAGUGAACAAUAAUUAAUUUGAGUGAAUAGAUACCUUUUGAUAACAAAGGCCUGCUCCAAGUCCAAUAAUGCUGCCAAAUGAUGUUUGGUGUUAUCCAUAUUGAUUCUCCAAUCUUCAACAAAGAGUGAAGUCAUUGUUACUACCACUGUUUUAAAUUGCAGUUGUGGUCAUGAUUGUGGUAACAGUUCCGAUUAUUGUGAUUGCAGUCAUUGCGGUCGUAGCGAUACAGAAUGCGGUCGUUGCAAUGUGAAUUAUUUUGUGAUUAAAAAACUAUUUUUGAAUUUGAUGUGUCCUGAUAUAGUCCAAAUGCGUUCAGAUGUGGUUGCGUUGUGGACCAACGUGGUUACUUUGUCGCCAAUGCGGUUACGUUGCAGCCUGAUGCAGACGCAUCAUUAUGAUUCAGAAUCACACCACAAUUAUGAUGUGAUACGGUUACAACAGUCACCCCAACCGAUAUAUUAUGGCUACAAUUUAAAUCAUUGGUUACUAGUAAAGUUGCAUGGAUUGUAGACACAACACGAUUCAACCAAUCAAAAGGAGCACUUUG
Molecule: long non-coding RNA, 1964 nt
Filed under: Lupinus angustifolius (narrow-leaved blue lupine)
Lineage: Eukaryota; Viridiplantae; Streptophyta; Magnoliopsida; Fabales; Fabaceae
Description: long non-coding RNA (LANG_LNC000333)
Source: RNAcentral